AACCUGCGGAAGNAUCAUUG
This 20-nucleotide ribosomal RNA is filed under the name Ancistrocladus tectorius. Its description in RNAcentral is "partial 18S ribosomal RNA". The record is from RNAcentral. Lineage: Eukaryota; Viridiplantae; Streptophyta; Magnoliopsida; Caryophyllales; Ancistrocladaceae.